This 301-nucleotide ribosomal RNA is filed under the name uncultured bacterium. RNAcentral's name for it is "partial 16S ribosomal RNA". It matches the Rfam family "Bacterial small subunit ribosomal RNA", at positions 509 to 809 of the family's 1533-position model. The record is from RNAcentral.
CAGUCGCCGCGGUAAUACGAAGGGUACAAGCGUUACUCGGAAUUACUGGGCGUAAAGCGUGCGUAGGUGGUGGUUUAAGUCCGUUGUGAAAGCCCUGGGCUCAACCUGGGAAUUGCAGUGGAUACUGGAUCACUAGAGUGUGGUAGAGGAUAGUGGAAUUUCCGGUGUAGCAGUGAAAAGCGUAGAGAUCGGAAGGAACAUCUGUGGCGAAGGCGACUAUCUGGGCCAACACUGACACUGAGGCACGAAAGCGUGGGGAGCAAACAGGAUUAGAUACCCGAGUAGUCCCUGUCUCUUAUAA